RNAcentral lists this long non-coding RNA (1307 nucleotides) under Homo sapiens (human). Its description in RNAcentral is "HSALNT0034835". The record is from RNAcentral. Lineage: Eukaryota; Metazoa; Chordata; Mammalia; Primates; Hominidae.
CCCUGCCCCGCGGGGAGGCGGUUGAGGCCCGGCGAGAAUUCGAGCGCUGCGCGGGCGGGCCAGCAGAGUUGGGGGACCCUGCGCACCCUCCGCAGCUGCUGGCCCGGGUGCUAAGCCCCUCACUGCCCAGGCAGGCGGGGCGCCAGCUGGCCGCUCUGAGUGCGGCGCCCGCCGAGCCUACGCCCACCCGGAACUCGCGCUGGCUCGCGAGCGCCGCGCGCUGCCCGGGUUCCCAUCCGCGCCUCUCCCUCCACACCUCCCAGCAAGCAGAGGGAGCCGGCUCUGGCCUCCGCCAGCCCAGAGAGGCUUCCACAGUGCAGCGGCGGGCUGAAGGGCUCCUCAAGCGCGGCCAGAGUGGACGCCGAGGCCGAGGAGGCGCGGAGAGCGAGCGAGGGCUGCUAGCCCAUGCAAUGGACUCCAUGAAGGUUCCUGCUUGAUUUGUGAAACAGCCCAGGAAUAAGGGACAUUCUCCUGGAUCAUUCUGCUUCGUGAGAGGAUGAGGGCUCAGGAAACCAUUGCACUGCUGUAUCCACUCACAUCAGUGUGAUUGAUUUUCUAGUGACACAGAAGAAUAUGUACUUUACAACUCCAUCCCUCACCUUGGAACUCAAAAUUUACAUGUUGAACAGUAAGUCCCCAAGGUCUUCAUCAUUCAAGCUUUCCUCCUCAACGAUUCUAUUUCUCCAUAAGAGCAGCAAAUUCAGGACAAACACAGUCCUCCUGGAGGCCAGUGCCAUAAUUAAUAAGAAUUAACACAACUUGGAGAGUAGGCUAUUCACUUCCUCUGAAAUGUGCGAACAUAAUUUAAUCUUCUCAGUAAUUUGUGAGAUAGUGUAUUAUUUUCCUGCACUUUUCAGAUGGAGUAUCUAAGACACAGAGUUUCAAUACGUAGGUGAAGUUCACAUCACCAGUAGCAGACUGAACUGGGAUCCAAAGCCAAGCAAUGUCAUCAUCUGUCCUUCAAUGCAUGGUGCUCUGCCACCUCACUGAGAGACUGAGGAUUCCUUUAAAAUAAACUCUAAUGGACACAUCACAUAUACCAUCAUUCCUUCCCUUCUCUGCUGUUUCUCUCAGCUUCUCCCAGUCUUUCUGAAGCUUUCCCCCUACCAUCAGUGAAAUCUCUACCUUGUCAGGUUAUUUGCUUGAUUUCUGCAAAACUCCAUUUUCUCAAAAAGAAACUCACUGGAGCAAAACUUAAAUUCUAAAUGUCACAGCUGUCAAUUAGCAGUGUGACCUUUACUAAGUCAUUCUCCUUCUAUGGGUCUCAGUUUUGCUUUUUUACAGCCUCUAAGAUUGGCUAUAGCCCA